RNAcentral lists this ribosomal RNA (346 nucleotides) under uncultured bacterium. RNAcentral's name for it is "partial 16S ribosomal RNA". It matches the Rfam family "Bacterial small subunit ribosomal RNA", at positions 338 to 681 of the family's 1533-position model. The record is from RNAcentral.
CCUACGGGUGGCAGCAGUGAGGAAUAUUGGUCAAUGGGCGCGAGCCUGAACCAGCCAAGUAGCGUGAAGGAUGACGGCCCUACGGGUUGUAAACUUCUUUUAUAAAGGAAUAAAGUGAGGCACGUGUGCCUGGAUGGAUGGACUUUAUGAAUAAGGAUCGGCUAACUCCGUGCCAGCAGCCGCGGUAAUACGGAGGAUCCGAGCGUUAUCCGGAUUUAUUGGGGUUAAAGGGAGCGUAGUGGGGUUGUUAAGGCCGUUGGGAAAGUUUGCGGCGCAACCGUAAACUUGCAAUUGAUACUGGCAGUCUUGAGUACAGUUGCGGUCGGCGGCAUUCGUGGUGUAGCGG